AUGAACGCUGGCGGCGUGCCUAAUACAUGCCAGUCGAGCGAACAGACGAGGAGCUUGCUCCUCUGACGUUAGCGGCGGACGGGUGAGUAACACGUGGAUAACCUACCUAUAAGACUGGGAUAACUUCGGGAAACCGGAGCUAAUACCGGAUAACAUGUUGAACCGCAUGGUUCAACAGUGAAAGACGGUCUUGCUGUCACUUAUAGAUGGAUCCGCGCCGCAUUAGCUAGUUGGUAAGGUAACGGCUUACCAAGGCAACGAUGCGUAGCCGACCUGAGAGGGUGAUCGGCCACACUGGAACUGAGACACGGUCCAGACUCCUACGGGAGGCAGCAGUAGGGAAUCUUCCGCAAUGGGCGAAAGCCUGACGGAGCAACGCCGCGUGGGUGAAGAAGGUCUUCGGAUCGUAAAACUCUGUUAUUAGGGAAGAACAAAUGUGUAAGUAACUAUGCACGUCUUGACGGUACCUAAUCAGAAAGCCACGGCUAACUACGUG
This 496-nucleotide ribosomal RNA is filed under the name uncultured bacterium. RNAcentral's name for it is "partial 16S ribosomal RNA". It matches the Rfam family "Bacterial small subunit ribosomal RNA", at positions 29 to 507 of the family's 1533-position model. The record is from RNAcentral.